Molecule: long non-coding RNA, 560 nt
Filed under: Rattus norvegicus (Norway rat)
Lineage: Eukaryota; Metazoa; Chordata; Mammalia; Rodentia; Muridae
Description: long non-coding RNA NONRATT020845
Source: RNAcentral
CUGAGUAUCCCACUACCACCAUUGUGAACAUGGCCUUUCCUCUCUGGAGCUACACUUUGUGGGUUGCUUCCUAACCCUGCCUUGUGUGUGUCUUUGCUGUGAGCAGACCGUGUCAUCUCAGUGUGUCCCUGCUGCAGUGGCUUCUCUGCUCACACCCCCUGUGGUUUUCACACAGUCUACCUGUGCCCCACUGAGAGAGACUGAUAAUGGGCUCAUGGCCCUAGGAGGCCCAGAACUUCCUGCUGCCUCCUCCAGCCUCCUUCUGCCCCUGCAGAACUGGGAAUCCUCCACCAUGGCCAGCAGGCCCCUCACCAGGCUGCAGCUCCAGGAGGCACUGCUGAACCUCAUCCAGAAUGACGACAACUUCUUAAGCAUAAUCUACGAAGCCUAUCUCUUCAGCGUGACACAAGCCGCCAUGAGAAAAGCCACGUGACCAGCUACCUGAGAGCAAAGACUGAGAACUGGUUUUCCGGGGUCUUCCUGUGAACUGGUGUGACCAAACACAUUUAUGCCUUUUUAACAAAGUAUAGUGAUGCAGAGUAAAAUGUUUUGUACUAUCC